RNAcentral lists this ribosomal RNA (404 nucleotides) under uncultured bacterium. RNAcentral describes it as "bacterial SSU rRNA". It matches the Rfam family "Bacterial small subunit ribosomal RNA", at positions 355 to 775 of the family's 1533-position model. The record is from RNAcentral.
UGAGGAAUAUUGCACAAUGGGGGCAACCCUGAUGCAGCGACGCCGCGUGGAUGAUGAAGGCCUUCGGGUUGUAAAGUCCUUUUGCCACUGACGAGAACGGACGGUAGGUGGCGAAUAAGCCCCGGCUAACUACGUGCCAGCAGCCGCGGUAAAACGUAGGGGGCGAGCGUUAUCCGGAGUUACUGGGCGUAAAGGGUGUGUAGGCGGUGGCAUAAGUGGGGUGUGAAACACUCAGGCUAAACCUGGGAGGUGCGCCUCAGACUGUGCGACUAGAGUGGGAUAGAGGGGCGUGGAAUUCCGGGUGGAGCGGUGAAAUGUGUAGAGAUCCGGAGGAACACCAGAGGCGCAAGCGGCGCCCUGGGUCCCAACUGACGCUGAAACACGAAAGCUUGGGGAGCGAACGG